UCUGGAGGAGAGACGCCAUGCUCAGCUCUCCCGGGUAGACGCGAUAGCUCCUCUCAGAGACACGAGAUAGCUCUGCUCUCAGAGACACACGCGAUGAAGCUCCGACUCAGGGUGGACGUAGGCUAGAAUCUUCCCGAGAUGGAGAUUCUGUCUCCUUAUGCUCUGACUGAAUCAACAGGAAAUGUGAGAGGGACCAAACGAAGUGGUCCUGUGCAGAGAGAAGUCUAGGAGGCCCACUCUGCUACACCCAUCCUUCCUCUCUCGCAUGCACCCAGAGCGGCUAUACCUACAGCGAGGACAAACAGGCUUUGUCUGACACUGUGAGAUUAUCAUCUCUCUCCUCCUUGAGGGAAGUGCCAGGUCCCAGUUACAGACAAGGGGAAAGAAGAAGGCAAGGGAGGAGGUUCCCCGCUCCCAUUUAUGGGGUGUACGUGAAUGGAGGCCUAGAAAGACCAUUGCGUGAAACUGUGAAGUUGAAGCCUGAAUUUCCUUGGAGACCCCAAGAUGCUAGAGCCAUGAGAUACCUGUCCAGGAAAGCUGCUAAAAGGGAGUGGAACCAGCCUAAGAGAAAGAAGUAUGUUGCAAUCAACAUAGUUGAAAGGAGUUGGAGAUAUGAAAAGCAUUUUGACAUUAGAUGUGGAGAUGCAGUUUGGAGUUUACCCAGCUGGAUUUCAGUCUUGCUUUGGUCCAGUAUUCCUUCAUUAUGCUCCCUUCUCUACAUUUUGGAAUGAACCUUCAUCUGGCGAUGGAUGGAGAUAGAGACAGAGAUCCACACUGGAGCACUGGACUGAGCUCCCAAGGUCCAAAUGAGGAACAGAAGGAGGGAGAACAUGAGCAUGGAAGUCAAGACCGCAAUGGGGCACCCACCCACUGAGACAGUGGGGCUGAUCUAUUGGGAGCUCACCAAGGCCAGCUGGACGGGGACUGAAAAAGCAUGGGAUAAAACCGGACUCUCUGAAUAUGAUGGACAAUGAGGGCUGCUGAGAAGCCAAGGACAAUGGCACUGGGUUUUGAUCCUACUGCAUGUACUGGCUUUGUGAGAGCCUAGCCUAUUUGGAUGCUCACCUUCCUAGACCUGGAUGGAGGGGG
Long non-coding RNA from Alexandromys fortis (reed vole), 1089 nucleotides. RefSeq lists it as uncharacterized. The transcript is spliced from 4 exons. The record is from RefSeq and is a predicted model, not a curated record. NCBI's taxonomy places the organism in Eukaryota, Metazoa, Chordata, Mammalia, Rodentia, Cricetidae.